Mus musculus (house mouse) is the source of this 45-nucleotide non-coding RNA. NCBI's taxonomy places the organism in Eukaryota, Metazoa, Chordata, Mammalia, Rodentia, Muridae. The record is from Rfam.
CCUUCGGCUUUUCUCAAAGCCAUCAAUUUUCACUAAGGGUAGCAC